GCUGGAAUAGCCAAGCCUGGUCAAAGGCGACAGACUCAAGAUCUGUUCUCGUAGGGGUUCACCGGUUCGAAUCCGGUUUCCAGCA
This 85-nucleotide transfer RNA is filed under the name Methanomassiliicoccaceae archaeon. RNAcentral's name for it is "tRNA-Leu". It matches the Rfam family "tRNA". Rfam says of the family: Transfer RNA (tRNA) molecules are approximately 80 nucleotides in length. Their secondary structure includes four short double-helical elements and three loops (D, anti-codon, and T loops). Further hydrogen bonds mediate the characteristic L-shaped molecular structure. tRNAs have two regions of fundamental functional importance: the anti-codon, which is responsible for specific mRNA codon recognition, and the 3' end, to which the tRNAs corresponding amino acid is attached (by aminoacyl-tRNA synthetases). tRNAs cope with the degeneracy of the genetic code in two manners: having more than one tRNA (with a specific anti-codon) for a particular amino acid; and 'wobble' base-pairing, i.e. permitting non-standard base-pairing at the 3rd anti-codon position. The record is from RNAcentral. Lineage: Archaea; Methanobacteriati; Thermoplasmatota; Thermoplasmata; Methanomassiliicoccales; Methanomassiliicoccaceae.